This 82-nucleotide transfer RNA is filed under the name Bacteroidota bacterium. RNAcentral describes it as "tRNA-Leu". It matches the Rfam family "tRNA". Rfam says of the family: Transfer RNA (tRNA) molecules are approximately 80 nucleotides in length. Their secondary structure includes four short double-helical elements and three loops (D, anti-codon, and T loops). Lineage: Bacteria; Pseudomonadati; Bacteroidota. The record is from RNAcentral.
GCCAAAGUGGUGAAACUAGUAGACACACUGGUCUUAGGAACCAGUGGCUUAGGCCGUGGGGGUUCGACUCCCUCCUGUGGCA